AUAUUGCUUCAAACUUGAUUAAGAUUUUCUCUGGUAUGGAAGUGAAAUGACUAUGACUAUCUCAUUAAUAUUGAGUAAUAAUUAUCACAUUGGAAAUUUCCUAGAUUAGGGAGUGUCAUCAUCACGAAUAACGCAACUUUAGAUGCUAGAUUGAUAAAGGAAAGCUAAUGGAAUUAUGAUCAAUCUACUCCUACCAUCAUCUCAACAAAUAGUCAUAUUCAUAUGGACAAUUCAUUUAUUAUUCACUCGUACAUACGCUCCUAAAACGAAUGAGAGAACACUUGGCAACUCAUGUCGUUACAAUGACGAAUGCGAUGGUGAUCAGUGGUGUCAUAACAAGAAGUGUGACUUGGCCUGUCACAGUGUGCAGUGUGGCACUGAGGCCAAGCCACCACAUAGCGUGUGUGUUGUCACCAACCAUGAGCCAAAAUGUGUUACCCCCGAUCAAUUGGAAAUAGUUGACCGUACCAAUCAUCGUAAUUGGCACCUUGUGAAUGAUAAGUCUUGCGGACAUGAGAACCAUAUGAGAGUUUUAGGUGGUCGUAAUGCAAAAUUGGGAGAAUUUCCUUGGAUGGCAUUGGUACUUAUCAUAUCUGAGUUCGACUCAGGUGAAAAAAUAAACUACUGUGGUGGAUCCAUAAUCAAUGACAGAUACGUUGUUACCGCGGCGCAUUGUGUUCGUAAAUCAGAACGGGACGGUGACAAUUUUAGAGUCAAAGUACGUCUUGGUGAAAAUGAUUUGAAGCGCGAUCCAGACUGUGAGAGCGAUUUGUCCAAGCAUGUAAAGGGAUUGUGCACUCCAGAGCCCGUCGAAUACGAUGCAAAUGAAAUACAAGUUCAUCCGGACUUCAGAGCCAAUCAAGGCACUGGAUCAAGCGUGGACCCAUGGGGUGAUCUGGCUCUAUUGCGCAGUGACAAGAAAUUCGAUUUUAGUGACUUCAUUCUUCCAAUUUGCUUGGAAUAUGGAGACCUACUCAGACAGGAUUACACUGGAGAAUUGGCACAAAUCAUCGGCUGGGGAGCCUGGGAUAAUAUCAGACACAACAGGACACGCCGUCAGUCGACCUACACAGGUCGCCUGCAGAAGGCACACGUCUUCGUGCUCGACCAUCUCACCUGCAACUUACUCCUCGUGGCGUUGGAAAUAAUCAAGCCGGAAGAGCCACCGGACCAGUUCCUAUGUGCCGGAAAUCAUGAGAUCCUCUCCUUCAUCGGCGACUCCGGAAGUCCACUGAGUGUUGUCAAGGCCGUUGAUGGCGAUAAGGCCCGCACUUAUCUGAUAGGUGUCACCUCCUACAAUUACAAUUUGCUCACUGAUACUGGAGGCUUGACUAGACCUACUGUUUAUAUCAGGGUUGCCGCUUAUUUGGAUUGGAUUUUGGACACAAUUCGUGAAUGAUUGCAACAUGGGAGUCACCUGAAAUGUCUCCAACAAAUCGUCUUUGAUCUAUAGUUAUACCCUGAUACCGUACUAAAUAGUAUAUUUCGCACCUAGAGCAGAAAAUGAGGCCCUAGGCCGAGGACUAGAGAAGAUUGAGAGCCGGAAAAAAAAUUUUUGCCCGUGGUGCGAACGCUAUUUUUCGCCACACACAAAAAUAAACAAUAUAUUAUAUAUGAGAAUAGUUGUUUACUAAGCACUUCCGAAAGCAGAAGUGGAAGGUGAUAGCUCUAGCAAAUCUGAGGUAAUCUGAAUAUGAGGAAAUUGUCCAGGUAUUUUUAUUUUUUAUUCUGAUUUGUCUAAAUAACCUGAAAGAUUAUGUUCAAUUAUGUGGGAGGUUGAGUUUAUACUUUUUUAUUCUUCCAAAUGACAAUAAGAUGAUAUUAUUAUAAAUGUUUUAAUUAUUGAAUAAUGAACACAACUAAUGAAAAGUUUUUUGAUCAACUGUUUUUUGAUCACCUUUCUUAGUUCCAUGUUAGCGGCUGGAAAGGGUACUCUUUCCGGCCUAGGCCGGAAAGAAACCUGUUCUGACGUCAGACGAGAGUCGUCUGCAAGCAAUCUCUUUCAGAUCUAAGUAGGGUCUGGAAAACAGCUGCUUUCUGUGCAGUGUGGCGAAAAAAGUAAUGGCUUUUGUUGGUGGGGAGUCCCUUGCGGGAAGGACCCACCGCCUGAAUAUAUAAUUUAAGCCGUCAAUGGGCCUUACGACUGCCAUACUUUAGCCUGGACCAACAGUUUAACGUAGCCAUCCGAUAACACGGGAGUGAUCUGGUUAAAAAACUGUAUUUGAUACCAUACUUAUUUGUGGGUAACAGGUACCUUGACACCUAUGUUCUCUCGUAUUCAAAAUAAUAUAAUAAAAGCCAUCAUAAGUAUACCAUUAUACCACCUAUUCAUAGGUAACAGAUAUACUCUGACACCUAUGUUGUCCGUAUUCAAAAUCAAAUUUUCAAAAAUGAUCCAAAAGCUAAUCUUCGAUCUAUCAAUAUAAAUAGGAGUCUCGCAUAUUGGUCAGUGUUUAGGAUAACUACUUUGAAGGAAUUGCAACAAAUGUCCACUACAGAUUCUCUUGUGGUAUAGGAUCAAAGGAUAUCGUUUCAGGUGACCUCAACAUUAUCUAUGACAGUGGUUGUUAUGAUAUGCAUGUAUUGUGUAUACAGUGUAUUAUAAUGAAAGGGUACUUAAUAACUUUCGUUGUGUUUCAUUAAUUUCAGUAGCCCUAUGUAUUAUAAUGACUGUUAUUGACGUUUUCAAUUGCCAUGUUAAUGUGCUUUGGAGAAAUAGAGACAUUCUUUGUUCGUAUUCUUCUAUUGUGCAUGCAUAGAUGGUUGUUGCUACACCAGUUAUAGUCCUAGUUUAGUUGAUUUUGUUUGUACAAUGUAUGCGGUUGGCCAAAUAAAUUAUUGAUUGCA
This 2847-nucleotide unclassified non-coding RNA is filed under the name Nilaparvata lugens (brown planthopper). Its description in RNAcentral is "phenoloxidase-activating factor 3, transcript variant X2". The record is from RNAcentral. Lineage: Eukaryota; Metazoa; Arthropoda; Insecta; Hemiptera; Delphacidae.